AGCAGCCGCGGUAAUUCCAGCUCCAAUAGCGUAUAUUAAAGUUGUUGCAGUUAAAAAGCUCGUAGUUGAACUUCGGGAUUCACCCAUUGGUCAGGCUUAAUUGUCUGUACUGGUGAGAUGAGUCUCUACCUUCUGAGGAACUUUCAUGCCAUUUGUUUGGUGUGAUUGGAAAUCAGGACUGUUACUUUGAAAAAAUUAGAGUGUUUAAAGCAGGCUAACGUCUGAAUACAUUAGCAUGGAAUAAUGAAAUAGGACGGAUUGAUUCUAUUUCGUUGGUUUCUAGGGUCACCGUAAUGAUUAAUAGGGAUAGUUGGGGGCAUUAGUAUUCAAUUGUCAGAGGUGAAAUUCUUGGAUUUAUUGAAGACUAACUACUGCGAAAGCAUUUGCCAAGGAUGUUUUCAUUAAUCAAGAACGAAAGUUAGGGGAUCGAAGACGAUCAGAUACCGUCGUAGUCUUAACCAUAAACUAUGCCGACUAGGGAUCGGACGCAGUUAAUUUUAUAAUGACGUGUUCGGCACCUUACG
This 524-nucleotide ribosomal RNA is filed under the name uncultured Diversispora. Its description in RNAcentral is "SSU rRNA". It matches the Rfam family "Eukaryotic small subunit ribosomal RNA", at positions 569 to 1092 of the family's 1831-position model. Lineage: Eukaryota; Fungi; Glomeromycota; Glomeromycetes; Diversisporales; Diversisporaceae. The record is from RNAcentral.